RNAcentral lists this ribosomal RNA (482 nucleotides) under uncultured bacterium. RNAcentral describes it as "partial 16S ribosomal RNA". It matches the Rfam family "Bacterial small subunit ribosomal RNA", at positions 30 to 507 of the family's 1533-position model. The record is from RNAcentral.
AUUGAACGCUGGCGGCAUGCUUUACACAUGCAAGUCGAACGGUAACAGGCCGCAAGGUGCUGACGAGUGGCGAACGGGUGAGUAAUGCAUCGGAACGUGCCCAGUCGCGGGGGAUAACUACUCGAAAGAGUAGCUAAUACCGCAUACGAUCUAUGGAUGAAAGCGGGGGACCGUAAGGCCUCGCGCGAUUGGAGCGGCCGAUGUCAGAUUAGGUAGUUGGUGGGGUAAAGGCUCACCAAGCCAACGAUCUGUAGCUGGUCUGAGAGGACGACCAGCCACACUGGGACUGAGACACGGCCCAGACUCCUACGGGAGGCAGCAGUGGGGAAUGUUGGACAAUGGGCGCAAGCCUGAUCCAGCAAUGCCGCGUGCAGGAAGAAGGCCUUCGGGUUGUAAACUGCUUUUGUACGGAACGAAACGGCUCUGGUUAAUACCCGGGGCUAAUGACGGUACCGUAAGAAUAAGCACCGGCUAACUACGUG